UACGAAGGGGGCUAGCGUUGUUCGGAAUUACUGGGCGUAAAGCGCGCGCAGGCGGUUCUUUAAGUCCGGGGUGAAAGCCCAGAGCUCAACUCUGGAAUUGCCUUUGAAACUAGAGAACUUGGGUACGGGAGAGGUGAGUGGAAUUCCGAGUGUAGAGGUGAAAUUCGUAGAUAUUCGGAAGAACACCAGUGGCGAAGGCGGCUCACUGGCCCGUUACCGACGCUCAGGCGCGACAGCGUGGGGAGCAAACAGG
Molecule: ribosomal RNA, 253 nt
Filed under: uncultured bacterium
Lineage: Bacteria
Description: partial 16S ribosomal RNA
Rfam family: Bacterial small subunit ribosomal RNA
Source: RNAcentral